This 543-nucleotide ribosomal RNA is filed under the name uncultured bacterium. Its description in RNAcentral is "partial 16S ribosomal RNA". It matches the Rfam family "Bacterial small subunit ribosomal RNA", at positions 355 to 889 of the family's 1533-position model. The record is from RNAcentral.
UGGGGAAUUUUGGACAAUGGGCGCAAGCCUGAUCCAGCCAUGCCGCGUGCGGGAAGAAGGCCUUCGGGUUGUAAACCGCUUUUGUCAGGGAAGAAAUCUUCUGAGUUAAUACCUCGGGAGGAUGACGGUACCUGAAGAAUAAGCACCGGCUAACUACGUGCCAGCAGCCGUGGUAAUACGUAGGGUGCAAGCGUUAAUCGGAAUUACUGGGCGUAAAGCGUGCGCAGGCGGUUUUGUAAGACAGAGGUGAAAUCCCCGGGCUCAACCUGGGAACUGCCUUUGUGACUGCAAGGCUUGAGUGCGGCAGAGGGGGGAUGGAAUUCCGCGUGUAGCAGUGAAAUGCGUAGAUAUGCGGAGGAACACCGAUGGCGAAGGCAAUCCCCUGGGCCUGCACUGACGCUCAUGCACGAAAGCGUGGGGAGCAAAACAGGAUUAGAUACCCUGGUAGUCCACGCCCUAAACGAUGUCAACUGGUUGUUGGGAAGGUUCCUUCUCAGUAACGUAGCUAACGCGUGAAGUUGACCGCCUGGGGAGUACGGCCGC